Molecule: unclassified non-coding RNA, 377 nt
Filed under: Hevea brasiliensis (rubber tree)
Lineage: Eukaryota; Viridiplantae; Streptophyta; Magnoliopsida; Malpighiales; Euphorbiaceae
Source: RNAcentral
AGAAGGAGAAGAAGAAGAAGAAAAGAAGAUCUUAGCUGCAUUAGACAUCUGAUCCUGAGGCUGUUGGAAAGGGUGGAGCGAGCAGUGCUUAGCUUUAUUGGAAGAUACUAAAGGUAAACUUCCAUUACCUACUUCUCAUUCUCUACUGAUGUAUAUUUUGUUUAUUUGAUUUUAGUUAAAUUUCAGAUUUUUAAACCUUAAUCUUAAAGGAGAAUCUUAUAUUAUUGUAUUAAAUUUAUUGAUAUUCUUAAGUGAUAGUCAUUAUUCUAUUAAAUGUGUAUUUAUGUUUGGGAUUUUAGAAUUUUCAAAAAUCUCUAUUUCUAACCCAUUAAAUUAAGAGAUUGAUAAAAUUUUCUCUUUAAAUACCUUCAAAAGCC